Molecule: ribosomal RNA, 99 nt
Filed under: Periophthalmus magnuspinnatus
Lineage: Eukaryota; Metazoa; Chordata; Actinopteri; Gobiiformes; Gobiidae
Source: RNAcentral
AAACUGCUCUGAGAAUCCACGAUCUCAUGGGAUCUCAGAAGCUCAGCGGGGUUGGGCCUGGGGAGAACUUAGAUGGGAGACUGUUGGAAAUACCAUGUA